GAUGAACGCUGGCGGCGUGCCUAAUACAUGCAAGUUGAGCGAACGGACGAGAAGCUUGCUUCUCUGAUGUUAGCGGCGGACGGGUGAGUAACACGUGGAUAACCUACCUAUAAGACUGGGAUAACUUCGGGAAACCGGAGCUAAUACCGGAUGAUAUUUUGAACCGCAUGGUUCAAAAGUGAAAGACGGUCUUGCUGUCACUUAUAGAUGGAUCCGCGCUGCAUUAGCUAGUUGGUAAGGUAACGGCUUACCAAGGCAACGAUGCAUAGCCGGCCUGAGAGGGUGAUCGGCCACACUGGAACUGAGACACGGUCCAGACUCCUACGGGAGGCAGCAGUAGGGAAUCUUCCGCAAUGGGCGAAAGCCUGACGGAGCAACGCCGCGUGAGUGAUGAAGGUCUUCGGAUCGUAAAACUCUGUUAUUAGGGAAGAACAGAUGUGUAAGUAACUGUGCACAUCUUGACGGUACCUAAUCAGAAAGCCACGGCUAACUACGUG
RNAcentral lists this ribosomal RNA (497 nucleotides) under uncultured bacterium. RNAcentral describes it as "partial 16S ribosomal RNA". It matches the Rfam family "Bacterial small subunit ribosomal RNA", at positions 28 to 507 of the family's 1533-position model. The record is from RNAcentral.